RNAcentral lists this ribosomal RNA (465 nucleotides) under uncultured bacterium. Its description in RNAcentral is "partial 16S ribosomal RNA". It matches the Rfam family "Bacterial small subunit ribosomal RNA", at positions 28 to 507 of the family's 1533-position model. The record is from RNAcentral.
GACGAACGCUGGCGGCGUGCUUAACACAUGCAGGUCGAACGGAAAGGCCCUGCUUGCAGGGUACUCGAGUGGCGAACGGGUGAGUAACACGUGGGUGAUCUGCCCUGCACUUCGGGAUAAGCCUGGGAAACUGGGUCUAAUACCGGAUAGGAGCCAUUUUUAGUGUGAUGGUUGGAAAGUUUUUUCGGUGUAGGAUGAGCUCGCGGCCUAUCAGCUUGUUGGUGGGGUAAUGGCCUACCAAGGCGGCGACGGGUAGCCGGCCUGAGAGGGUGGACGGCCACAUUGGGACUGAGAUACGGCCCAGACUCCUACGGGAGGCAGCAGUGGGGAAUAUUGCACAAUGGGCGCAAGCCUGAUGCAGCGACGCCGCGUGGGGGAUGACGGCCUUCGGGUUGGAAACUCCUUUCGCUAGGGACGAAGCUUUUUGUGACGGUACCUAGAUAAGAAGCACCGGCUAACUACGUG